Molecule: long non-coding RNA, 2879 nt
Organism: Heterocephalus glaber (naked mole-rat)
Lineage: Eukaryota; Metazoa; Chordata; Mammalia; Rodentia; Bathyergidae
Source: Ensembl
CACCCAUUCUGGACAAGGUGGGACAGACACCAGGAGUAAGAGGUCCACCUCAAGCUGGCUGGGCUGUAGGCCCUGCAGGGCUCUGACAGAGCAGUCAAGAUGAUGUGGUUACAUUGAUGCCUUGUAAAGCAGCACUACAGAAGAAAUAGCCUGUGGAAGCAAUGCCAGCCACAUAGGCAACUGACACCAGCAAACUUAAGCAUUUCCAGUAAUUGAGCACCACCUUGUGGUCCAGAAGAAAAUCCAGGAAUGCACCGCAUCCAUCUUUGGAUCAUUGAGCAUAAUGAGCAGCCUUAAUGGCCAUCUGGCUUUUGUUGUCUCCUUUAGUCUGAGAGGAAAUGAGAUUUAUUACUGAAUAUGAACUGUCUCCUACCGUCUAAACUGCCUGGUGAGAAAAUGGAGGCAGGAAGAUGUCUGUCUUAGUCCAUUUGUGCUGCUGUGACACAAUACCACAGACUGGGUAAUUGACAAAGAACAAAGAUUUACUCUCACAGUUCUGGAGGAGGAGAAGUCCAAGAUUAAGGUGCCGGCAUCUGUGAGGAUGCUGCGCUCCUGCCCUGCGGAGGAUGCAGCAGAUAAGCACCAUCUUGGAGGAAGAGAAUGGCUGUACCAGACCAAACCUGCUGGUACCUUGACCUCAGACUUCCCAGCCUCCAGAACAAAUCUUCAAGCACCACAAUAUGGCAUGUCUUCCCUCUGCCACAAGAAGGGUGAUGUCCCUGAGAGCUGCUUCUUCAGUCUGGAAUGAAGAAGAUAUGAAACAAAGCCACAGCCUACCUUCCACUAACAUGUAACAUGAGCAAAGCAAACAACAUUAUUGCUGCAAGCCUCUGAGAUUUUUAACAAUAAUUGUAACACAACUGAUGAAAGUUCAUGGAUAUAGAUGCCUUCAAGGACUUUGACCUCAGCAACUAAAAGAAUGGAGUUUCCCUUGACUGCGAUGGGAAGCUCAAGGGGGAAGAAGGUUUCAAAGGGCUUAUUAAGAGUUCACUUUCAAUGAGAUGUGUCCAGGCAGGGACACAGAGGAGGCAAUUGGAUUUAAGAAUCGAACAUUAAGGGAAAGAGCUAGGCUGGAGAUAAAAUAAAAUUGGUGUUCAUCAGCAUACAGCUGGUAAUUUAUAGGGCCAGAGGAUUCAUUAAGAUCAUCAAGGGAGUGCCUAUCACUAUAGGAGAGGAAGACUCCAUGAGAGGUCAUUAGCGAUCUCAUCACGAACAUUUUCUCUCACAGUGAGUUUGAGAAGGAAUGUGGGGAAAGAAAUUGACUACAACCAGGACAGUUAAUUUCUUGAGAUUUGCUCUGAAGGAAGCCAAGAAAUGGGCCAUAACCCGGCAAUUUCCAAUAGGAUGAAAACAUCAGACCAGAUGCUCUUCUUGCACAGAUGAGCAUAUUCCUUUUCUUUCUCUUGGCCUGUUUCUCAGUUUUACCACACUGUGAAGUACCUAUGAUUACCUUCCAGGGUCUCUAACAGGUGAAGUGACUUAAUUAAUGUCACACACCUAGUACAUGGCACAGCCGAGAGUCAUUCCUUCAUCUCUCUUUUGACAAAGCCUGUGCUCUUUUCUCCUUUAUAAUUGUCUUCCAGAAAAGUUGCAAUAUUUUCUUUGAAGCAAAUUUCACAAAUGUUUCCUGCAUUACUUCUCAACUAGCAAAGUGUAGCUUGGGAUAAAAUUGACAUAAUCAGGUGACUUUUUGUUCCCUAGUGCUUACUAUUAAGCUAUGUUCUGCUGCUGUCAGUUUUAAAUUAAGAGUUCUCACUCGACCUAAAAUGUGGCUUAAACUCAACACUAGUUCAGUCUAGAAGGAAAGCUGCAAACUCACCAAAAUGUCAGGUGAACAUUUUAGUCCUUCUUUGGUUUUAAGUUCAAGCAACCAAUUACCAAACUAUAAUUACUUUAAAAUUUGGUAGAAAUUUUAUGAAUUCAUAAUGAUGAUUGGAUACAUGUGAUUGAAGGUUAAAAGUGGUGUUCUAGUGCAAAAGCCGUUUCUCCUACCUACUGGUUGGUUGAAUUUCAUCCACACAUAAUAAACAAAUGGAUCAUGUGGCAAUGACUAGGCUCUUAUAUUGAUUAGGCUUUUCUAGAGGAACAGAAUUGAUAGAAACACACACACACACACACACACACACUCACACACAUGAGCUUUAGCAUAUAUAGCAAGACAAUUUAUUAGGUAGGCUCACGGAAUUAGAGAUAGGAGAAUCCACAGUGAGUAUCUGCAUGCUGGAGAGUCAGAGGGAGCUGAUCGGUCCAAAAAGCUGGGAGCCAAAGAACAAAGAUGCAGCAGCAGUGUGAAACCAAAGGCCUAGAAGCUUCCUGGAAAGUUGCUAGUAUGAGUGAGUCUCCAUUGGAUGCCCGAAGAUAUAAAAGUCUGAUGCUUAUAGUCCAUGGCAGCAACAGACACACCCACUCAAGCAAAAUGGAGCUUGGAAAAUGCAGUCGACUUCCUCUCUUUUCCCUGUUUUAUUUCACCUGGACUCAAAGCCUAGUGGAUGGAGCCACACACAAUCAGCAUGGGUCUCCCCUCCGUGCUGACCCACCUGGCAGUCAUCUCUGGAAACUCCCCACCACCACACCAAGAAGUGUGCUCUACUAACCCACUAGGCAUUUCUUUUUAUUGGCAGUACUGGGAUUGGGUCUGGGGCCUUCACACUGAGCUACAUCCCCAGCUCCUCUUUGUUUAUUAUUAUUAUUAUUAUUAUUAUUAUUAUUAUUAAUACUUUGACACAGAGUCUUAUGAGUCACUAAGUUGCCCAUGCUAAGUUUGAGCUUUUGAUCCUUGUUCCUCAGUCUCCUAGGGUGCUGGGAUUACAGGUGUGCCCCACCAUUUCUUAAUCUGCUCAAGUUGAUAUAUCAUAAUAGUCACAGUUCUCAAAAUGUUA